CGGCCGCCAGCACAGUGCCUGCGGACCGGGGAGGGAGAUCUCUGAUCUCCCCUCCGGUCCGCAGGCACAUUGCAGGGCUAGCACCUGCAUGUGCUGACAGGGGAGGGAGACCGGCGGAUUUCCCCCCCCCUGGAUCCGCCACUGCCCUGUGGGUGCCCCCACCCUCAGGGUCCCCCCACCCUCAGGGUCCCCCUCCCGCUGGGCUCUGGGGAGAGGAAGGGGUUAAACUUAACUCUUUCUCCAGCGCCGGGCAGGGAGCUCUCCUCCUCUUCGACUGAAUGCACAGCAGGAGCUGCGUGCGCAUUCAGCC
Pelobates cultripes (western spadefoot toad) is the source of this 310-nucleotide non-coding RNA. The record is from the annotation of a GenBank genome assembly. NCBI's taxonomy places the organism in Eukaryota, Metazoa, Chordata, Amphibia, Anura, Pelobatidae.